RNAcentral lists this long non-coding RNA (554 nucleotides) under Trifolium pratense (red clover). RNAcentral describes it as "long non-coding RNA (TPRA_LNC001534)". Lineage: Eukaryota; Viridiplantae; Streptophyta; Magnoliopsida; Fabales; Fabaceae. The record is from RNAcentral.
CAAACACACCCUUAGUACUGCUGCUGCUGGUAAACUCAAAUUUUCAUCAGCAACAUGUGCCUCAGAAUUUUUUUGGCAUUUCUAUAAACAUAAGCACCCUCUUUUUCCUCAUGUUCCUAUCUACAAGAAACCCUUUCCUCAUAUUCCUAUCUACAAACCUCCUUUUCCUCAUAUUCCUAUCUUCAAAAAACCUUUCCCUCCACAUGAGCCUAUCUAUGAAAAACCUCUUCCUCCGCCUACACCGGUCUAUGAAAAACCAGUUCCUCCGCCUACACCUGUCUAUGAAAAACCUCUUCCUCCGCCUACACCGGUCUAUGAGAAACCUCUUCCCCCGCCUACACCUGUCUAUGAGCCUCCACCAACUCCUGUAUAUCAUAAACCUCUUCCCCCACCUACGCCUGUCUAUGAGAAACCUCUUCCUCCACCUACACCUGUAUAUCAUAAACCACAUCCACCACCGGCUCCGGUCAAAGGUUGUCCACCAAAGGUUGAACACCCAAUUCUACCACCUGCUCCAGUAUACAAACCUCCUCCAGUUCCAAAGCCACAACCAC